Chelonoidis abingdonii (Abingdon island giant tortoise) is the source of this 144-nucleotide non-coding RNA. Lineage: Eukaryota; Metazoa; Chordata; Testudines; Testudinidae. The record is from RefSeq and is a predicted model, not a curated record.
UUCUGCAGCAAACCACAUUGAAUUCCUUUCAUCAAAGCAUUAAUCUACUGAAUACUUUUGUUCUGUCCUUCUGUCCACCAAAAUAAAACCUGAUAUUUACCUAGAAAAAUUAUUAAUACACUUUUACACUGCUUUCUCAGCUGU